RNAcentral lists this ribosomal RNA (1455 nucleotides) under uncultured organism. RNAcentral describes it as "SSU rRNA". It matches the Rfam family "Bacterial small subunit ribosomal RNA". The record is from RNAcentral.
AACGCUGGCGGCAGGCCUAACACAUGCAAGUCGAACGGUAACAGGAAGAAGCUUGCUUCUUCGCUGACGAGUGGCGGACGGGUGAGUAAUGUCUGGGAAACUGCCUGAUGGAGGGGGAUAACUACUGGAAACGGUAGCUAAUACCGCAUAACGUCGCAAGACCAAAGAGGGGGACCUUCGGGCCUCUUGCCAUCGGAUGUGCCCAGAUGGGAUUAGCUAGUAGGUGGGGUAACGGCUCACCUAGGCGACGAUCCCUAGCUGGUCUGAGAGGAUGACCAGCCACACUGGAACUGAGACACGGUCCAGACUCCUACGGGAGGCAGCAGUGGGGAAUAUUGCACAAUGGGCGCAAGCCUGAUGCAGCCAUGCCGCGUGUAUGAAGAAGGCCUUCGGGUUGUAAAGUACUUUCAGCGGGGAGGAAGGGAGUAAAGUUAAUACCUUUGCUCAUUGACGUUACCCGCAGAAGAAGCACCGGCUAACUCCGUGCCAGCAGCCGCGGUAAUACGGAGGGUGCAAGCGUUAAUCGGAAUUACUGGGCGUAAAGCGCACGCAGGCGGUUUGUUAAGUCAGAUGUGAAAUCCCCGGGCUCAACCUGGGAACUGCAUCUGAUACUGGCAAGCUUGAGUCUCGUAGAGGGGGGUAGAAUUCCAGGUGUAGCGGUGAAAUGCGUAGAGAUCUGGAGGAAUACCGGUGGCGAAGGCGGCCCCCUGGACGAAGACUGACGCUCAGGUGCGAAAGCGUGCGGAGCAAACAGGAUUAGAUACCCUGGUAGUCCACGCCGUAAACGAUGUCGACUUGGAGGAUGUGCCCUUGAGGCGUGGCUUCCGGAGCUAACGCGUUAAGUCGACCGCCUGGGGAGUACGGCCGCAAGGUUAAAACUCAAAUGAAUUGACGGGGGCCCGCACAAGCGGUGGAGCAUGUGGUUUAAUUCGAUGCAACGCGAAGAACCUUACCUGGUCUUGACAUCCACGGAAGUUUUCAGAGAUGAGAAUGUGCCUUCGGGAACCGUGAGACAGGUGCUGCAUGGCUGUCGUCAGCUCGUGUUGUGAAAUGUUGGGUUAAGUCCCGCAACGAGCGCAACCCUUAUCCUUUGUUGCCAGCGGUCCGGCCGGGAACUCAAAGGAGACCGCCAGUGAUAAACUGGAGGAAGGUGGGGAUGACGUCAAGUCAUCAUGGCCCUUACGACCAGGGCUACACACGUGCUACAAUGGCGCAUACAAAGAGAAGCGACCUCGCGAGAGCAAGCGGACCUCAUAAAGUGCGUCGUAGUCCGGAUUGGAGUCUGCAACUCGACUCCAUGAAGUCGGAAUCGCUAGUAAUCGUGGAUCAGAAUGCCACGGUGAAUACGUUCCCGGGCCUUGUACACACCGCCCGUCACACCAUGGGAGUGGGUUGCAAAAGAAGUAGGUAGCUUAACCUUCGGGAGGGCGCUUACCACUUUGUGAUUCAUGACUG